Molecule: ribosomal RNA, 468 nt
Filed under: uncultured bacterium
Lineage: Bacteria
Description: partial 16S ribosomal RNA
Rfam family: Bacterial small subunit ribosomal RNA
Source: RNAcentral
GACGAACGCUGGCGGCGUGCUUAACACAUGCAAGUCGAACGGAAAGGCCCUGCUUUUGUGGGGUGCUCGAGUGGCGAACGGGUGAGUAACACGUGAGUAACCUGCCCUUGACUUUGGGAUAACUUCAGGAAACUGGGGCUAAUACCGGAUAGGAGCUCCUGCUGCAUGGUGGGGGUUGGAAAGUUUCGGCGGUUGGGGAUGGACUCGCGGCUUAUCAACUUGUUGGUGGGGUAGUGGCUUACCAAGGCUUUGACGGGUAGCCGGCCUGAGAGGGUGAUCGGCCACAUUGGGACUGAGAUACGGCCCAGACUCCUACGGGAGGCAGCAGUGGGGAAUAUUGCACAAUGGGCGGAAGCCUGAGGCAGCAACGCCGCGUGCGGGAUGACGGCCUUCGGGUUGUAAACCGCUUUCGCCUGUGACGAAGCGUGAGUGACGGUAAUGGGUAAAGAAGCACCGGCUAACUACGUG